CAGCAGCCACGGUAAUACGUAGGGUGCAAGCGUUAAUCGGAAUUACUGGGCGUAAAGCGUGCGCAGGCGGUUAUAUAAGACAGAUGUGAAAUCCCCGGGCUCAACCUGGGAACUGCAUUUGUGACUGUAUAGCUAGAGUACGGCAGAGGGGGAUGGAAUUCCGCGUGUAGCAGUGAAAUGCGUAAAUAUGCGGAGGAACACCGAUGGCGAAGGCAAUCCCCUGGGCCUGUACUGACGCUUAUGCACGAAAGCGUGGGGAGCAAACAGGAUUAGAUACCCCCGUAGUCCCUGUCUCUUAUAC
Molecule: ribosomal RNA, 301 nt
Filed under: uncultured bacterium
Lineage: Bacteria
Description: partial 16S ribosomal RNA
Rfam family: Bacterial small subunit ribosomal RNA
Source: RNAcentral